Molecule: ribosomal RNA, 433 nt
Filed under: uncultured bacterium
Lineage: Bacteria
Description: partial 16S ribosomal RNA
Rfam family: Bacterial small subunit ribosomal RNA
Source: RNAcentral
AACGAACGCUGGCGGCAGGCCUAACACAUGCAAGUCGAGCGAGGACUUCGGUUCUAGCGGCGGACGGGUGGGUAACGCGUGGGAAUGUGCCCUUCUCUACGGAAUAGCCCUGGGAAACUGGGAGUAAUACCGUAUACGCCCUAUUGGGGAAAGAUUUAUCGGAGAAGGAUCAGCCCGCGUUGGAUUAGGUAGUUGGUGGGGUAAUGGCCUACCAAGCCGACGAUCCAUAGCUGGUUUGAGAGGAUGAUCAGCCACACUGGGACUGAGACACGGCCCAGACUCCUACGGGAGGCAGCAGUGGGGAAUCGUAGACAAUGGGGGCAACCCUGAUCUAGCCAUGCCGCGUGAGUGAUGAAGGCCUUAGGGUUGUAAAGCUCUUUCAGCUGGGAAGAUAAUGACGGUACCAGCAGAAGAAGCCCCGGCUAACUCCGUG